This 70-nucleotide transfer RNA is filed under the name Ictidomys tridecemlineatus (thirteen-lined ground squirrel). RNAcentral describes it as "Spermophilus tridecemlineatus (thirteen-lined ground squirrel) tRNA". It matches the Rfam family "tRNA". Rfam says of the family: Transfer RNA (tRNA) molecules are approximately 80 nucleotides in length. Their secondary structure includes four short double-helical elements and three loops (D, anti-codon, and T loops). The record is from Rfam by way of RNAcentral. Lineage: Eukaryota; Metazoa; Chordata; Mammalia; Rodentia; Sciuridae.
GGGGAUAUAGCUCAGUUGGUAGAGCGCUUGCCUCACGUGCACAAGGCCCUGGGUUUGAGCCCCAGCACCA